RNAcentral lists this ribosomal RNA (486 nucleotides) under uncultured bacterium. RNAcentral describes it as "partial 16S ribosomal RNA". It matches the Rfam family "Bacterial small subunit ribosomal RNA", at positions 30 to 507 of the family's 1533-position model. The record is from RNAcentral.
AUUGAACGCUGGCGGCAUGCCUUACACAUGCAAGUCGAACGGCAGCACGGGUGCUUGCCCCUGGUGGCGAGUGGCGAACGGGUGAGUAAUACAUCGGAACAUGUCCUGUAGUGGGGGAUAGCCCGGCGAAAGCCGGAUUAAUACCGCAUACGAUCUACGGAUGAAAGCGGGGGACCUUCGGGCCUCGCGCUAUAGGGUUGGCCGAUGGCUGAUUAGCUAGUUGGUGGGGUAAAGGCCUACCAAGGCGACGAUCAGUAGCUGGUCUGAGAGGACGACCAGCCACACUGGGACUGAGACACGGCCCAGACUCCUACGGGAGGCAGCAGUGGGGAAUUUUGGACAAUGGGCGAAAGCCUGAUGCAGCAAUGCCGCGUGUGUGAAGAAGGCCUUCGGGUUGUAAAGCACUUUUGUCCGGAAAGAAAUCCUUGGCCCUAAUACGGUCGGGGGAUGACGGUACCGGAAGAAUAAGCACCGGCUAACUACGUG